AUGCAUAAAGGUGUACGU
RNAcentral lists this small nuclear RNA (18 nucleotides) under Arabidopsis thaliana (thale cress). Its description in RNAcentral is "snRNA_08356". The record is from RNAcentral. Lineage: Eukaryota; Viridiplantae; Streptophyta; Magnoliopsida; Brassicales; Brassicaceae.